This is a long non-coding RNA of Neogale vison (American mink), 438 nucleotides long. RefSeq lists it as uncharacterized. The transcript is spliced from 3 exons. NCBI's taxonomy places the organism in Eukaryota, Metazoa, Chordata, Mammalia, Carnivora, Mustelidae. The record is from RefSeq and is a predicted model, not a curated record.
GGACGGCCAAAUUCCUCCCAGCGCAGGACUGAGGAGCUUGGAUUUGAUCCAUUGGGAGCUAGGGAGCCAUGGGAAGACCGCGAGAGACUAACCCGAUGGGAUUUGUGUGUUUGGAAGAGCCUUUGGGUGGAAGCUAGAAAGACUGAUGCUCGUGUCCCAGUGUCUGGAACGCAUGCCCAACAUGGGGCUUGGACUCCCAACCUUGAGAUCAAGAGUUGCAUGUUCUCCUGCCUGAGCCAUCCAGAGACUCCUGUUGAAUGGUUUUUUAAAAUACGAUUGAAUUCUUUAACCCAUUUCCUGAUUCAUUUAGCAUUUAUUGAGCACCUAACAUACACCAGGCACUGUGAGGGUCCCUGAGGGGUCACAAUGCCUGCCAUCCUGAGCCACAAGGCUGAGAGGCAGAGAGAGACUUUCAAGAGACAGAGAGCAAGUAGGGGG